Zeugodacus cucurbitae (melon fly) is the source of this 2204-nucleotide long non-coding RNA. RefSeq lists it as uncharacterized. The record is from RefSeq and is a predicted model, not a curated record. The transcript has 2 exons. NCBI's taxonomy places the organism in Eukaryota, Metazoa, Arthropoda, Insecta, Diptera, Tephritidae.
AUAUGUGCAUAAGAAGUAAUAUACAGAAAAUUUACAACAACUAAGCUGGACAGUGCAAUUGACUGCAGUCCACAAACAUUAUUAGUUGCAGUUGUUGGUACACUAGUUGCAGCUACACUUUCGCAGCCACGCAGUGCAUUGCAGAGAAUGCAGUGCAAAUUAUGUAUAAUUUAGUCUUUUCACACGUCUCUCGCGCCGCACGUUACCGCUGACAUUCUAAGGUAGAUGAACUUGUACUUGCCAUUUGUGGGCUGGCAUGGCAGCAGCAGCAACAACAAUUGCAACAACUAUAAUACGCUGGCAAAUGUUUGCGGUUAUACGCAAUUUUAACAACAAUAACAACAGCAACUGGUUUGAAAUGCUUGCAAUUCAUUGCUGAUUGUUUUUGCUCGUUCAUGCGUGCGCUCCAGCCAUCCAACGUUCGUGGCUCUCACUGCGUCACUUUUCUUUGCAUUUCGCACGAUGUUGCUGACAUUCUGCAUGCAAUGCAUGCGCACACACAUACAUACAUAGAUAAGGGCUCAUUUUGCAAGCAGCAAUACUCUCACGCUCCGCAUUGAUGGCAUAAUAUAACCACUGCUAUGACUCGUUUUGUUGUUGGUUGCUCACUCAUUAAGGCUGAAUGCAUUGGACAUACCUUUUCUUUUGCAUUUAUGUUGUUAUUGUAAAUGCAACGGUUAACUUGAGUUUCAUGGCUUCACUUAAUGCCUUGGCUUCGCUUAACUGUUAUUAUUAUAAGCUUAACAUUGAAAAGUUUCAGUGGAUUUGACAUUACAAAUCGAUUUUGUUGAGCAUUAAAUGAGGAAAUAAUCAUUAAAUUGAUUUUAAGAGCUCAAAAAUUAAUUAUUGAAGUCUGUACGGAGAAUUUUAAAAUAUAAAGUAGAGAUAGACUUUAACAACUUAACCUAAAAAUGGGACUGACUCUAGAAUUCAUAUAAAAAUGUUUGGAUUACUUCGUAAGGCUUCAAAAGAAUGUUAGCUGUUGAGAGAAUUUAUUAGUUCUGAAAAAUUUUUGGUCAUUAGAGUUGAUAUUGGACUAUUUUUAACACAAAAAGCUCUUAUGAGGUCUCUAUGAAUCCAACAUUCUGCACCCUAAGGCACAAAUUCCCAAACCUUAUUAUUAAUAACAGUCCCCCUCACUUUUUAUAUUCAACCAGUCCAGUGAGAUCACUCACACAAUCACCAUAUAAUAAAUACAUAUAUAUUAAAACUGAACUCUCGUCCACUGACGUCACUAAGCUGUUUGCGGAUCUCGUGCCACUCUUUCGUCUUGUCUACGUUGUUUCAAAGAGUCGUCAAUGAAAACUCGCUCCAUUUACUCACUAGCUGACUGUUAGCCUAGCUAUAUUAAGCAAGCUAAGCGUACGCUAAGUAUAUUAAGCCGUUACGUAUUCAAGGUCUACAAGCAUGCAUGUAGCUAAACGUGUUUAUUGUUGUUUCUUUUUGUAUAUGUUUGCACAGGUGCAAAUGGUUAGAGAACGAUCUGUAUGUAUGAGUGAAUGGUGCAGACGCACGAAUUUGUAAUUUUGAGUGGCGCAUGAGAUGAGAAGCAUUAAACUUGUAUAUGACUGUGAGUCUUAGCGGUGUUGUUAGUUGUUAAUUUGUUCAAUAGUACACAAUUUGGGGAAUUUCAAGUAAUGAAAGCAGGUGUCAUUUAUGCGGGUUGUCAGUAAUAAUUAGCAUGUCAAGGUCGUCAAAUAUUUCAGUGUAUCAAAAAUUCUUUAGCUGGCACAUUUUCUAUAUUUCAAGUUUGAGAGCUAACCUUAAAACCUUAGAUCUUAUCCUGCGUACUCCCGCAGUGCAAUGAGUUCCAUAAAAAAAAGUAUUUUAUUGAUAUAAUAAUAAUGGAAUUAAUUAUUCAGCCAUGUUUUGAGGUUAGGUUAAUGUUUUGCUAUCAACUGUUUUAGCAUUUUUUUGAGGUUAGGUUAAAUUUUUUUUUUUGUACUGUCAAUUUUAUAUAUAUACGGGUGGAAAUUCGAAAAUUGAGCAUGGUUUUAAACUGCCUUCGAGUGACCAGAAACAAUUCUUUUGCAUGUGGCUCAGCAGCUCACGACUUCCGGCCUUAGACCAUGUAUCCUCUGGGUAGCCAACAGACAUGCGUUUGGAGGCGAGGUAAAGUGAGAAGGCUCUGCGGCUGUGCGGGUGGGUUUGGGCCCCACCACAUAAAAACGAAGUACAAAUGAAAAAUCGACGAAAGCCUCGGA